This 347-nucleotide ribosomal RNA is filed under the name uncultured bacterium. Its description in RNAcentral is "partial 16S ribosomal RNA". It matches the Rfam family "Bacterial small subunit ribosomal RNA", at positions 338 to 682 of the family's 1533-position model. The record is from RNAcentral.
CCUACGGGUGGCUGCAGUGAGGAAUAUUGGUCAAUGGACGAGAGUCUGAACCAGCCAAGUAGCGUGAAGGAUGACUGCCCUAUGGGUUGUAAACUUCUUUUAUAGGGGAAUAAAAUGUUCCACGUGUGGGAUUUGGUAUGUACCAUAUGAAUAAGGAUCGGCUCACUCCGUGCCAGGAGCCGCGGUAAUACGGAGGAUCCGAGCGUUAUCCGGGUUUAUUGGGUUUAAAGGGAGCGUAGGGGGCUUGUUAAGUCAGUGGUGAAAGUUUGCGGCUCAACCGGAAAAUUGCAGUUGAAACUGGCAGUCUUGAGUACAGUAGCGGUGGGCGGACUUCGUGGUGUAGCGGU